Molecule: ribosomal RNA, 301 nt
Filed under: uncultured bacterium
Lineage: Bacteria
Description: partial 16S ribosomal RNA
Rfam family: Bacterial small subunit ribosomal RNA
Source: RNAcentral
CAGUAGCCACGGUAAUACAGAGGGUGCGAGCGUUAAUCGGAUUUACUGGGCGUAAAGCGUGCGUAGGCGGCUUUUUAAGUCGGAUGUGAAAUCCCUGAGCUUAACUUAGGAAUUGCAUUCGAUACUGGGAAGCUAGAGUAUGGGAGAGGAUGGUAGAAUUCCAGGUGUAGCGGUGAAAUGCGUAGAGAUCUGGAGGAAUACCGAUGGCGAAGGCAGCCAUCUGGCCUAAUACUGACGCUGAGGUACGAAAGCAUGGGGAGCAAACAGGAUUAGAUACCCCGGUAGUCCCUGUCUCUUAUAA